GGAGAUGUACCCAAGCGGUUGAAGGGUCUGCACUCGAAAUGCAGUAGGCACCUAAUAAGUGCGCGAGAGUUCGAAUCUCUCCAUCUCCGCCA
Molecule: transfer RNA, 92 nt
Filed under: Angelakisella sp.
Lineage: Bacteria; Bacillati; Bacillota; Clostridia; Eubacteriales; Oscillospiraceae
Description: tRNA-Ser
Rfam family: tRNA
About the family: Transfer RNA (tRNA) molecules are approximately 80 nucleotides in length. Their secondary structure includes four short double-helical elements and three loops (D, anti-codon, and T loops). Further hydrogen bonds mediate the characteristic L-shaped molecular structure. tRNAs have two regions of fundamental functional importance: the anti-codon, which is responsible for specific mRNA codon recognition, and the 3' end, to which the tRNAs corresponding amino acid is attached (by aminoacyl-tRNA synthetases). tRNAs cope with the degeneracy of the genetic code in two manners: having more than one tRNA (with a specific anti-codon) for a particular amino acid; and 'wobble' base-pairing, i.e. permitting non-standard base-pairing at the 3rd anti-codon position.
Source: RNAcentral